Molecule: small nucleolar RNA, 107 nt
Organism: Zingiber officinale
Lineage: Eukaryota; Viridiplantae; Streptophyta; Magnoliopsida; Zingiberales; Zingiberaceae
Source: RefSeq, a predicted model, not a curated record
AGGCCAUGGUGAGGGCACUGUAAUAACAAUUCCUUGAGUCUUUCUCAAGUUGCAACCAACGAUUCCCCUUCUGACUGUUGGAAAUUUAUGAUUUGACUUCUCAUUUU